Molecule: long non-coding RNA, 406 nt
Filed under: Linum usitatissimum (flax)
Lineage: Eukaryota; Viridiplantae; Streptophyta; Magnoliopsida; Malpighiales; Linaceae
Description: long non-coding RNA (LUSI_LNC007689)
Source: RNAcentral
CAUGGCUCUGUUGGUCAUUCCUCAACGACUGGGUACUUUGAACCUUCUGAUUCACAGAACAUGGACGAGGUCUCUUAGUGCGGCGAACAACACAACGCUAAUGCCAAAGAUGACGACGAGCCUGAGCCCGAGUAACAACAAUGGGGAAGAGGAAGAUGGUCAAGCCUUGAGUGAGGACAACGACGGUACGCCAAUUGGCCCUCUCCAUCCAAGGGGGAUGAUGCUAAUGUCAUAAUCGAAACGGGGGCUGCAACAUUGUCUCGUGCCCCACGUGAGUAAACAUAAUUCCAAUUUGAAUCAAGAGAAAUAAAGAUUACAAUUGGAAUCAUGUUUUCUAAUUUAUUUCAUGGGAAAAAAACUUUCUUAGAAAUUUUUUAUAUCCAUUGAAUUUAGCAUUUUUUCUCAA